GACAGAGGCCUCGAGCGUUAGGCGGAAUCACUGGGCUUAAAGCGUGUGUAGGCGGAUCGUUAAGUGCCUUGUGAAAUCCCACGGCUUAACUGUGGAACGGCUGGGCAUACUGGCGGUCUUGAGCCAUCUAGGGGCGACUGGAACAAACGGUGGAGCGGUGAAAUGCGUAGAUAUCGUUUGGAACGCCAAUGGUGAAAACAGGUCGCUGGGGAUGAGCUUACGCUGAGACACGAAAGCCAGGGGAGCAAACGGG
RNAcentral lists this ribosomal RNA (253 nucleotides) under uncultured bacterium. Its description in RNAcentral is "partial 16S ribosomal RNA". It matches the Rfam family "Bacterial small subunit ribosomal RNA", at positions 524 to 776 of the family's 1533-position model. The record is from RNAcentral.